Molecule: long non-coding RNA, 338 nt
Organism: Oncorhynchus keta (chum salmon)
Lineage: Eukaryota; Metazoa; Chordata; Actinopteri; Salmoniformes; Salmonidae
Exons: 3
Source: RefSeq, a predicted model, not a curated record
GGUCAGGCUACUUGGCUAAAGUUACUGUAGAAAUUGCAGGUCAGGCUACUUGGCUAAAGUUACAGUAGAUAUUGCAGGUCAGGCUACUUGGCUAAAGUUACAGUAGAUAUUGCAGGUCAGGCUACUUGGCUAAAGUUACAGUAGAUAUUGCAGGUCAGGCUACUUGGCUAAAGUUACAGUAGAUAUUGCAGGUCAGGCUACUUGGCUAAAGUUACAGUAGAUAUUGCAGGUCAGGCUACUUGGCUAAAGUUACAGUAGAUAUUGCAGGUCAGGCUACUUGGCUAAAGUUACAGUAGAUAUUGCAGGUCAGGCUACUUGGCUAAAGUUACAGUAGAUAU